AGUCGAGCGAUGGAUUAAGAGCUUGCUCUUAUGAAGUUAGCGGCGGACGGGUGAGUAACACGUGGGUAACCUGCCCAUAAGACUGGGAUAACUCCGGGAAACCGGGGCUAAUACCGGAUAACAUUUUGAACUGCAUGGUUCGAAAUUGAAAGGCGGCUUCGGCUGUCACUUAUGGAUGGACCCGCGUCGCAUUAGCUAGUUGGUGAGGUAACGGCUCACCAAGGCAACGAUGCGUAGCCGACCUGAGAGGGUGAUCGGCCACACUGGGACUGAGACACGGCCCAGACUCCUACGGGAGGCAGCAGUAGGGAAUCUUCCGCAAUGGACGAAAGUCUGACGGAGCAACGCCGCGUGAGUGAUGAAGGCUUUCGGGUCGUAAAACUCUGUUGUUAGGGAAGAACAAGUGCUAGUUGAAUAAGCUGGCACCUUGACGGUACCUAACCAGAAAGCCACGGCUAACUACGUGCCAGCAGCCGCGGUAAUACGUAGGUGGCAAGCGUUAUCCGGAAUUAUUGGGCGUAAAGCGCGCGCAGGUGGUUUCUUAAGUCUGAUGUGAAAGCCCACGGCUCAACCGUGGAGGGUCAUUGGAAACUGGGAGACUUGAGUGCAGAAGAGGAAAGUGGAAUUCCAUGUGUAGCGGUGAAAUGCGUAGAGAUAUGGAGGAACACCAGUGGCGAAGGCGACUUUCUGGUCU
Molecule: ribosomal RNA, 694 nt
Filed under: Bacillus sp. Y732_2
Lineage: Bacteria; Bacillati; Bacillota; Bacilli; Caryophanales; Bacillaceae
Description: bacterial SSU rRNA
Rfam family: Bacterial small subunit ribosomal RNA
Source: RNAcentral